Molecule: long non-coding RNA, 602 nt
Filed under: Astyanax mexicanus (Mexican tetra)
Lineage: Eukaryota; Metazoa; Chordata; Actinopteri; Characiformes; Acestrorhamphidae
Description: lncRNA (ENSAMXG00005009328.1)
Source: RNAcentral
UGAUCACAGGAAUCUCCAAAAAGCAUUUCUUUAGUUCUGCUGGAGUCUGAAGGGUUAAAUAGAAAGGGGUGAAACUGAAAGCUGUUGUAACGGACCGCUUUUAAAAAGGAGAGCAGAGAGGAUUUCAAAGCUCAGCGCUUUAUACUUCAAGUUUUGACUGAUCAGGAUGGACCCUCAAAACGUCAGCAGUGAAGGACUGCCUGACUCAGGACUGCAGACAUUCAAAGAAGAACAUCCAGAGCCCAGCUGUGUGUCUAUGAAGAGCAGCCGCUCGAUGUUUCAGCCUCCUGUAUUCAGUAAUGAAAGAAGCAGUGCUGACUUUAGCUGUGGAAGGGAUGUGCGAUUCCAGGAUCAGUCCAGGUGUGGAGUGUGUGAGCAGAUUCAGACAGAUCCAGUCUCUAUCACAUGUGGACACACGUUCUGUAGGCAGUGCAUUAACAGCUACUGGGACCAGUCUGCUCCACCAGGAGACUUUGCUUGUCCCCGGUGCAAAAAGAGACCUAAAACACGUCCAGUUCUGUAUCCACUUAUGCAGGAAACCAUGAAGCAGCAUUACUGCCCGCCAGUGAAUGAUGUCUUACCCACAGUCAUAGAGAAACACA